UCCACUUCCCCGUCCGGCGCGGCCGAGGGCAGAACGCCCAGUCCCGCAGCCCGCCCAGGGCUUCCCCUCGCCGGCCCCACGGCCGGGCCCGCCCGCCCUUUCCGGACUCCCCCUCCCCGCCUCCGGUGGCGGAGACGCCCCGACCCCCCCCCCCCCCGCAACACACCCCCCUCGCCUCCCGCCGCGGACUCACCUGUGCUUCGAUCGGUCCCGGCGGUCCCUGCCCUGCUCCGGGAGGCCCUUGGCCCUGUCCUGGCCCCGCCUGCCCGGGCCCGGGCGGGGUUUGGGUCUGGCUGGGGAGAGUGAAGUCGGUGAACUCGAACUCGGAGCCCUGCGUGUCGGCGCCGAGCAGCUCGGCCUCCUCGGUGUCCAAGAAGGAUAAAGCCUGGAAUUGAAACAGCAUGUACCAGAUUUGCAGCUGUGAGGCUGAAAAGAUCUAAAUGAACACUGAAAAGCAUCCUUGUCCUAGGAGUAUUGUGCACCAAAUACAAGAGGAGAAAGAACAAAUAAAGAGAAAUCAGGAGUCAUCA
Molecule: long non-coding RNA, 530 nt
Organism: Colius striatus (speckled mousebird)
Lineage: Eukaryota; Metazoa; Chordata; Aves; Coliiformes; Coliidae
Exons: 2
Source: RefSeq, a predicted model, not a curated record